CAGUUUGGNAGCUAAAUNNCUNNNAAUGCAGCAUUCGUAGNCGACUAGAAGUGNGAUUCNNNACACUGGACUGGNNCCGGCUCCANNNCUNNGGAGGCCAGCAGNNNGGAAUNNUCNNAUUGACGAAANUNUGACNGAGCNACGCCNNGUGAGUGNNGAAGGCCUUCGGUCGUANAGCUCUGGUGUNNGGGANGACNANUAUCGUUCGGAAUAGGGCGGUAUCCUNNACGGUNCNAACCAGAAAGNCCACGGCUUAUCUACGUGCCAGCAGCCGCGGUAAUACGUAGGUGGCNAGCNUUGUCCGGAAUUAUUGGGCGUAAAGCGCGCGCAGGCGGUCUUUUAAGUNUGAUGUGAAAGCCCACGGCUCAACCGYGGAGGGUCAUUGGAAACUGGAGGACUUGAGUGCAGAAGAGGAGAGNGGAAUUCCACGUGUAGCGGUGAAAUGNGUAGAUAUGUGGAGGAACACCAGUGGNGAAGGCGGCUCUCUGGUCUGUAACUGANGCUGAGGCGCGAAAGCGUGGGGAGCAAACAGGAUUAGAUACCNUGGUAGUCCACGCCGUAAACGAUGAGUGCUAGGUGUUGGGGGGUUCCACCCUCAGUGCUGAAGUUAACACAUUAAGCACUCCGCCUGGGGAGUACGACCGCAAGGUUGAAACUCAAAGGAAUUGACGGGGGCCCGCACAAGCAGUGGAGCAUGUGGUUUAAUUCGAAGCAACGCGAAGAACCUUACCAGGUCUUGACAUCCUCUGACAAUCCUGGAGACAGGACGUUCCCCUUCGGGGGACAGAGUGACAGGUGGUGCAUGGUUGUCGUCAGCUCGUGUCGUGAGAUGUUGGGUUAAGUCCCGCAACGAGCGCAACCCUUGAUNUUAGUUGCCAGCAUUUAGUUGGGCACUCUAAGGUGACUGCCGGUGACAAACCGGAGGAAGGUGGGGAUGACGUCAAAUCAUCAUGCCCCUUAUGACCUGGGCUACACACGUGCUACAAUGGACGGUACAAAGGGCAGCAACACCGCGAGGUGAAGCGAAUCCCAUAAAGCCGUUCUCAGUUCGGAUUGCAGGCUGCAACUCGCCUGCAUGAAGCCGGAAUUGCUAGUAAUCGCGGAUCAGCAUGCCGCGGUGAAUACGUUCCCGGGCCUUGUACACACCGCCCGUCACACCACGAGAGUUUGUAACACCCGAAGUCGGUGGGGUAACCUUUAUGGAGCCAGCCGCNNU
Molecule: ribosomal RNA, 1216 nt
Filed under: Bacillus sp. D913
Lineage: Bacteria; Bacillati; Bacillota; Bacilli; Caryophanales; Bacillaceae
Description: partial 16S ribosomal RNA
Rfam family: Bacterial small subunit ribosomal RNA
Source: RNAcentral